CUUCUGCUUGCCUCCUCUCUGAAUAGCAAAACAAGAAAUUAGACACAAAGUAAAAAAUAAAAAAAUAAUGUGUGAUUUUGUCCUGAACAUAUGGAGGACAUCCUAUAAAGUAAUAAAGGAAAAGUUCCACGUGAUAACUUAUACAUGGAGUUCAAGUUAUACACCAAUUGAAAAACAAGAGUUGAAGAUAAUUGUUCACAGAAAUAAGGCAAAAAUUCUGUUUUAUAGUUUAAGAAAGAACCAGGCAUUAUAUCAGCUACAAUUUAUUCUAUUCAUGUGGCAUUGAGAAAGAUCUCACGUUCUGAUGCAUAGAAAAAUAGGGGGCCCAAAAAAUAGAAAAGAAAUUCUUCAAUCAACUAUCAGGGGUAUAAUUGGAAAGAAUGGAAACUUAUCACAUAUAUGAGCAUCCCAUCAAACAAACAGAAAACUCCAUCAGCAACGUAAGCCAUACAAAAUUUCAGUUUCAUUUUUUAUUUAAUUUUUCGGCAUUGCAACAAUUCUCACCAAUUUAUACUAGGGCAUACAAUAGACAACUUUACGCCAUAUGCUCAAGAGCCAUAUAGAAAUUGGGGAUUAGCCAAAUCAAUAUCUCAAGAUUGAUCACAACAGAUAUGUAUGUGGUAUAAAAAAAUUCCAUAGUUUGAAAGAAAAAAGAGAAACGAACCCAAUGGAUGUUCCAGCUUGAAGGAGCUUUUAGCCAUGGCUACAGUCGACCUUCGAUUACAGCUCUCUGCGAAUAUCAAACAUGAAAACAUCACAACCCCACAAAUUCAGAAAUCUCCUCCAACCAAAGACCAUAAAACAAAAGGGGAAAAAAAAGAAAAAAGAAAAAAAGCACUGCUUCUAUACCGGAAGAAGCAACAAACACAAGAAGACAAACACAGUUUGAAAUUUUAUAACAUACCCAACACGAAAAAAGAGAAUUAGAUGGCGAAAUUAUGGUUUCAAAGAGAAUUGAUUGAUUGAUCCCAUCGGUCGUUAUGACAUAGAACGACCCAAAAAGUCGACAUCAGAGAGACAAUUAUUGGGUGUUUAAAAAGAAAAAAUUAAUCUUCAAUUGAAGAGAAAGGAAACUUAUCAGAGAUUCAUUCUGAUUCCAACACGAAACCUAAUACGUAUACGACUUUCAAUUCUAAUGCAACUCAC
RNAcentral lists this unclassified non-coding RNA (1146 nucleotides) under Hevea brasiliensis (rubber tree). Lineage: Eukaryota; Viridiplantae; Streptophyta; Magnoliopsida; Malpighiales; Euphorbiaceae. The record is from RNAcentral.